Molecule: long non-coding RNA, 234 nt
Filed under: Erythranthe guttata (spotted monkey flower)
Lineage: Eukaryota; Viridiplantae; Streptophyta; Magnoliopsida; Lamiales; Phrymaceae
Description: long non-coding RNA (EGUT_LNC001185)
Source: RNAcentral
GCUGGGAUUCUCGCCAAAUUCCGGCGACCACCGCCGAUGAAUACCACCGAGAACAAUUACUGAAACAGAAUAUACCGAAAUGGAUAUUCUUUUUUGCUGAUUGAUGGAGGCAAUGUAAUGAUUUAUUCGAUUUUUCUGUGCUUUUUUUUUCAGUUUUUGAUCAAGCUUAUAAAAACCGAGCAUCAAAAUAUUCCAACAUUUUACGAUUUCGAGUACAGAGACAUGAAAACUAGU